RNAcentral lists this ribosomal RNA (253 nucleotides) under uncultured bacterium. RNAcentral's name for it is "partial 16S ribosomal RNA". It matches the Rfam family "Bacterial small subunit ribosomal RNA", at positions 524 to 776 of the family's 1533-position model. The record is from RNAcentral.
UACGAAGGGGGCGAGCGUUGUUCGGAAUUACUGGGCGUAAAGGGCGCGCAGGCGGCUCUGAAAGUCAGAUGUGAAAGCCCCGGGCUUAACCUGGGAAUUGCAUUUGAUACUCUGGAGCUUGAGUGUGGGAGAGGAGAGUGGAAUUCCCAGUGUAGAGGUGAAAUUCGUAGAUAUUGGGAAGAACACCGGUGGCGAAGGCGGCUCUCUGGACCACAACUGACGCUGAGGUGCGAAAGCGUGGGGAGCAAACAGG